CAAUGUUCCCCAACAGUUUUUUCUGGAAAUGGAAUUCAUCUCAACAGUUGUGCAUCAUUGGUGUAUGCUUCAAAACAGCUGUUGUGCUCCACUCUACUCCAGAGAGGCUUUCAUUUCAAUGAACCAAAGAACAUCACUUCAUAAUGCACCUUCUGUACAUGAUUGGAGCACAACAAUGGAAUGAAGUAGCCAAAAGAGAAUCAGCUUUGAUUAAUGGCAACCAAAUGAAAAAGAAACCUCCAAGAGAUCUAUCAUCAACAACUCUGCACUGCUCAGAUCCUGCUAACUGAUGAUUUACUUCACCAAAGUGCAUUGUGAGUAGUCUGUACUUUCUUUUUUAAAGCUAAAAAUUUAUCUACCAAAGGUUGGUCCUUUCGUAAUCCAUUCAUAAUAUUGUUGACUAAAGGC
This is a long non-coding RNA of Anolis carolinensis (green anole), 408 nucleotides long. RefSeq lists it as uncharacterized. The transcript is spliced from 3 exons. The record is from RefSeq and is a predicted model, not a curated record. NCBI's taxonomy places the organism in Eukaryota, Metazoa, Chordata, Lepidosauria, Squamata, Anolidae.